Molecule: transfer RNA, 63 nt
Filed under: Ergaula nepalensis
Lineage: Eukaryota; Metazoa; Arthropoda; Insecta; Blattodea; Corydiidae
Description: tRNA-His
Source: RNAcentral
ACUUGAUUAGUUUAAUUAAAAUAUUGAUUUGUGGUGUCAAAGUUGUAAUAAUUACAUUGGGUU